Molecule: ribosomal RNA, 468 nt
Filed under: uncultured bacterium
Lineage: Bacteria
Description: partial 16S ribosomal RNA
Rfam family: Bacterial small subunit ribosomal RNA
Source: RNAcentral
GACGAACGCUGGCGGCGUGCUUAACACAUGCAAGUCGAACGGAAAGGCCCUGCUUUUGUGGGGUGCUCGAGUGGCGAACGGGUGAGUAACACGUGAGUAACCUGCCCUUGACUUUGGGAUAACUUCAGGAAACUGGGGCUAAUACCGGAUAGGAGCUCCUGCUGCAUGGUGGGGGUUGGAAAGUUUCGGCGGUUGGGGAUGGACUCGCGGCUUAUCAGCUUGUUGGUGGGGUAGUGGUUUACCAAGGCUUUGACGGGUAGCCGGCCUGAGAGGGUGACCGGCCACAUUGGGACUGAGAUACGGCCCAGACUCCUACGGGAGGCAGCAGUGGGGAAUAUUGCACAAUGGGCGGAAGCCUGAUGCAGCAACGCCGCGUGCGGGAUGACGGCCUUCGGGUUGUAAACCGCUUUAGCCUGUGACGAAGCGUGAGUGACGGUAAUGGGUAAAGAAGCACCGGCUAACUACGUG